This 705-nucleotide long non-coding RNA is filed under the name Anas platyrhynchos platyrhynchos (common mallard). Its description in RNAcentral is "lncRNA (ENSAPLG00000017632.1)". Lineage: Eukaryota; Metazoa; Chordata; Aves; Anseriformes; Anatidae. The record is from RNAcentral.
CAAGACUAGUGUGGUUCUAAACGGAAGUACAGCAAAAUCUAGUUAUCAUUUCUGGAAUCUACAAAAUCCUUAGGCUGAGCAGACUUUUGUGACACAUGACUUAUGAAGCGCAAUGCAAUACACAGAACAGGAGCAACUUACCUCUGAUAGACCUGACAUGACAGGCAAGCUCUGAAGCUUUACAGAUAUUGGGAUUCAUCACAGCUGAAAAAGGACAUGCAAAUCUGAAGAUGUAAUGCAUCUAGAAAGGAAGCACACUCCUCUACAAAGAGAGAAGUUUGAGCAGAAGUUUGAGCAGCCAACUGCCAGUUCCAUUUUUCUAGGACCCUCCCUAGCAAGGCAAUGUGGAGAUAAGGUAAACCGUCACCUUAGUUUUGCAGUUUCCUAUGGUUAUUUAAGUUACAUGGAUGUGUCUCUUCAGUUUCCAUUCUGCAGUGUUGAGUAAAUGUUCAAGCAUUUAGCAGGCAAGAACAGGGCUUCAAAGUAGUUAUGCCUUCAAAAAGCUCUGAUGUACUCACAAAGGAUUAAUAAGAGAUUAUUGGAAAGUUUCAUAUUAAGUACCGUGGGUUCAUUAUAUUUAGACACUGAAUGAAGCUGAUCUCUGUCAGAAUUGUUCGCUAGGACUGAACUCUGAAAAACAGCACCAGGGCAAGCUGACAUGCAUGAGGACAUGCCCUCAGUGCAAGAAUGGAAUGUUUAAAAUUC